GAUAGAGGCGCGGUAUCCAUCAGUACCUCCCGGAAGGCCAGUGCAGCCGGGGAAGGGAAAGGGGCCACCGCCGAAGUGUCCGGGCAAUGCCUGUUGUCCGGGUGCUGGGUCGGCAGAGAAUAUCUGCCGGACUGUCACAAGAUUUUUUGUGAAGCGCUAUCA
RNAcentral lists this non-coding RNA (162 nucleotides) under uncultured Dysosmobacter sp. RNAcentral's name for it is "Lysine riboswitch". It matches the Rfam family "Lysine riboswitch aptamer". Rfam says of the family: Riboswitches are metabolite binding domains within certain messenger RNAs that serve as precision sensors for their corresponding targets. Allosteric rearrangement of mRNA structure is mediated by ligand binding, and this results in modulation of gene expression. Lineage: Bacteria; Bacillati; Bacillota; Clostridia; Eubacteriales; Oscillospiraceae. The record is from RNAcentral.